RNAcentral lists this long non-coding RNA (1748 nucleotides) under Lynx pardinus (Iberian lynx). The record is from RNAcentral. Lineage: Eukaryota; Metazoa; Chordata; Mammalia; Carnivora; Felidae.
AUGAUCUGAAUCCAGCUGUUGCGCUCCUCUUUGGAGCCGGCGUGCACUUCCACCAUCUCGGGGUCCCUCAUGCCCAUGCUGAUCAGGAACAGACCUCUCUCCUCGUGCGCUACCUCUCUCACAAUCAGCUUCUUUAAAGAGAUCACCGUUGACUUCUGGUCCUGGAGAAAGGGGAGACGGCCGACGUGACAGAGGCGGGCGACAGCCUAACUCUCAAGAACAACUCUGAUCUAUGGCAAGACCAGAUGUACGAUCUCACGUAUGUGUGGAAUCUAAAACAAAAAAAGCCCUAAAAAGCCCACACCAAACUCCUAGAAAAAGAGACCGGACCUGCGGCUACCAGAUGUGGAGGGGCAGGGAGAUGGUCAAAAGGUACAAGCUUCCAGUCAGGAGAGGAGCAGGCACGAGGGCCGAGGGCUACGGCUAACAGUGCUGUAUGGCACACACAGAAGGUGCCGGGGGUUCUUAUCAUACGGGUUCCCAUUUCUUUCCCUCUUCUCUUUAUACUAGAUCCCUAGGAGAUGAUGGGAGCUGAGCUUACUGUGGUGAGCACUGAAUAAUGUACGUAAAUGGAACCAUCACUCUCUAUGCCUCCCCCAGGGACGUACGUCAGUUUUUUCUCAAGACUGGGGAAAAAGGGCGUAUGGUUUAGCAAACUGUGGUGGAUUUAAGAUCAAGAGAAGUAUCUCAUCAUUUACAUUUUAUCAAACAGAAAAAGAUUUCCAAAAAAGAGAUAAUAAUUCGUAUCUCUAGAGGAUCCAGACAUGGGGUCUACAGGAUGAACCCUUCUAGGUUCCUCUGUGAAUCUGUCUGGCAACAAUACAUACUGGCACGAUUUACGGGGCAUAACGUGCAAGAAAUACUCCAGCAACAGAUUUCUUUAGAUAGAAUGCCCAAGACUCUAAAAGGGACUGUGAGGGAACAGAAAAAUAAUGGGGUUUCUUUGGGGGGGGGGGAGAGGGGGAUGGCAUGGAGACAGAAAAUUGCAAAGGUAUCUGAGAGAUUCCUCAGAGGAAGCUGUCCUGAGCAAAUUCAUUUUGAGGGGGCAGGAGAGCAGUAAUCCAUGGUCAGACCCAAUACCUGUUCCAGCUGUUUCAAACAUCAUCAAUUACAAACAGAAGACACCAACAAUUCAGCUUACCAAUGAUGCAAAGACGUAUUUCUGGUCUUUUUCUUGAAGGAAAACUAAAAUGUCAGUAAGGAGAACUGCUUGAGCCUCUGGAAAAUGGGGAAGGAGAGAAAGAACAAGGAGUACUUAGUGGUGAAGCACGGUCAGAGCACCUCUAUUAGGGGACAGUUCAGCAACCCACCCCGCACGGCAAGGCACUCGGGACCCAACAGUACACUCCGCUCCUCCAAGGUGACCGUUUAAUAUUUUUGCAGGAGCCAUAUGUGGUCAUUAGAUUUUCAGAGGCAUUUUAAAAAAAUUUUUUUAAGGUUUAUUCAUUUUUGAGAGACAGAGACGGAGUGCAAGCGGGGGNNNGGGGGAGGGGCACAGAGAAAAGGAGACACAGAAUCCGAAGCAGGCUCCAGGCUCUGAGCCAUCAGCACAGAGCCAGACGCAGGGCUCAAACUCACAAACCAUGAGAUCAUGACCUGAGCCAAAGUCGGACGCUUAACCGACUGAGCCACCCAGGCACCCCUUCUGAGGCAUUUGGAAAUAACAGCAGCUAUCACCAAAGCCAUAUCUUGAGAAAGCUUGAGUACGCAGUUCCGGAAAGAUCUAUCCCAUAAGGCAAGACUUUAAG